UGGGGAAUAUUGGACAAUGGGCGCAAGCCUGAUCCAGCCAUGCCGCGUGAGUGAUGAAGGCCUUAGGGUUGUAAAGCUCUUUCGGCGGGGACGAUAAUGACGGUACCCGCAGAAGAAGCCCCGGCUAACUUCGUGCCAGCAGCCGCGGUAAUACGAAGGGGGCUAGCGUUGCUCGGAAUCACUGGGCGUAAAGGGCGCGUAGGCGGACAUUUAAGUCGGGGGUGAAAGCCCAGGGCUCAACCCUGGAAUUGCCUCCGAUACUGGGUGUCUCGAGACCGGAAGAGGUGAGUGGAACUGCGAGUGUNGCAGGUGAAAUUCGUAGAUAUUCGCAAGAACACCAGUGGCGAAGGCGGCUCACUGGUCCGGUUCUGACGCUGAGGCGCGAAAAGCGUGGGGAGCAAACAGGAUUAGAUACCCUGGUAGUCCACGCCGUAAACGAUGGAUGCUAGCCGUUGGCAGGCUUGCCUGUCAGUGGCGCAGCUAACGCUUUAAGCAUCCCGCCUGGGGGGUACGGCCGCAAGUUAAAACUUAAAGGAAUUGACGGGGUCAUAGCUGUUUCCU
Molecule: ribosomal RNA, 561 nt
Filed under: uncultured bacterium
Lineage: Bacteria
Description: partial 16S ribosomal RNA
Rfam family: Bacterial small subunit ribosomal RNA
Source: RNAcentral